This 1274-nucleotide unclassified non-coding RNA is filed under the name uncultured cyanobacterium. Its description in RNAcentral is "partial contains 16S ribosomal RNA, 16S-23S ribosomal RNA intergenic spacer, and 23S ribosomal RNA". The stretch from base 1 to 984 matches the Rfam family "Bacterial small subunit ribosomal RNA", at positions 554 to 1533 of the family's 1533-position model. The record is from RNAcentral. Lineage: Bacteria; Bacillati; Cyanobacteriota.
UUGGGCGUAAAGGGUCCGCAGGUGGCGAAUAAAGUCUGCUGUUAAAGACCGGGGCUAAACUCCGGAAAGGCAGUGGAAACUGAUUAGCUAGAGUACGGUAGGGGUAGAGGGAAUUCCCAGUGUAGCGGUGAAAUGCGUAGAUAUUGGGAAGAACACCGGUGGCGAAAGCGCUCUACUAGACCGAAACUGACACUGAGGGACGAAAGCUAGGGUAGCGAAAGGGAUUAGAUACCCCUGUAGUCUUAGCGGUAAACGAUGGAUACUAGGUGUAGCUUGUAUCGACCCGAGCUGUGCCGAAGCUAACGCGAUAAGUAUCCCGCCUGGGGAGUACGCACGCAAGUGUGAAACUCAAAGGAAUUGACGGGGGCCCGCACAAGCGGUGGAGUAUAUGGUUUAAUUCGAUGCAACGCGAAGAACCUUACCAGGGCUUGACAUGUCGCGAAUCUAGCGGAAACGUUAGAGUGCCUUAGGGAAUGCGAACACAGGUGGUGCAUGGCUGUCGUCGGCUCGUGUCGUGAGAUGUUGGGUUAAGUCCCGCAACGAGCGCAACCCUCGUCCUUAGUUGCCAAUAUUAAGUUAGGCACUCUAGGGAGACUGCCGGGGACAACUCGGAGGAAGGUGGGGAUGACGUCAGGUCAGCAUGCCCCUUACGUCCUGGGCGACACACGUACUACAAUGGUUGGGACAAAGGGCAGCAAACUCGCGAGAGUAAGCGAAUCUCAUCAAACCCAGCCACAGUUCAGAUUGCAGGCUGCAACUCGCCUGCAUGAAGUAGGAAUCGCUAGUAAUCGCAGGUCAGCAUACUGCGGUGAAUUCGUUCCCGGGCCUUGUACACACCGCCCGUCACACCAUGGAAGCUGGCUACGCCCGAAGUCGUUACCCUAACCCGGUUUUGGGAGGGGGAUGCCGAAGGUAGAGCUAGUGACUGGGGUGAAGUCGUAACAAGGUAGCCGUACCGGAAGGUGUGGCUGGAACACCUCCUUUACAGGGAGACCUAGUCUAAUUACCAAUAGAUAAAAAAGUUGGUAAUUCGCAAGAAUCCUUAGGUCGUGAGGGGAGCAAGAAAAAACUUUCAAACUGUAAUGGGUGAGGGUCAAUGGGCUAUUAGCUUAGGUGGUUAGAGCGCACCCCUGAUAAGGGUGAGGUCCCUGGUUCAAGUCCAGGAUGGCCCACCUAAAAUACACAGGCAUCCUGCCUGUGCCACAAAAAAAGGAAAAAGUUUUGGCAUUGUCUCUUGUAAUCAAGAGCAAGAGAUAAUGCUGGAAUAGAUUCCA